Schistocephalus solidus is the source of this 73-nucleotide non-coding RNA. Lineage: Eukaryota; Metazoa; Platyhelminthes; Cestoda; Diphyllobothriidea; Diphyllobothriidae. The record is from Rfam.
GGUGCCGUGGUGUAGUGGUUAUCACGUCUGCCUAACACGCAGAAGGUCCCCAGUUCGAAACUGGGCGGUGCCA